CCUACGGGAGGCAGCAGUGAGGAAUAUUGGUCAAUGGACGAGAGUCUGAACCAGCCAAGUAGCGUGAAGGAUGACUGCCCUAUGGGUUGUAAACUUCUUUUAUAAAGGAAUAAAACGAGGCACGUGUGCCUUUUUGCAUGUACUUUAUGAAUAAGGAUCGGCUAACUCCGUGCCAGCAGCCGCGGUAAUACGUAGGGAGCAAGCGUUGUCCGGAAUUACUGGGUUUAAAGGGUGCGUAGGCGGGCUGUUAAGUCAGCGGUAAAAGCCCGGGGCUCAACCCCGGCGAGCCGUUGAAACUGGCUGUCUUGAGAUGUCGAGAGGUAUGCGGAAUGCGCAGUGUAGCGGUGAAAUGCUUAGAUAUUGCGCAGAACUCCGAUUGCGAAGGCAGCAUACCGGCGGCGAUCUGACGCUGAGGCACGAAAGCGUGGGUAUCGAACAGGAUUAGAUACCCGAGUAGUC
Molecule: ribosomal RNA, 459 nt
Filed under: uncultured bacterium
Lineage: Bacteria
Description: partial 16S ribosomal RNA
Rfam family: Bacterial small subunit ribosomal RNA
Source: RNAcentral